Triticum dicoccoides is the source of this 717-nucleotide long non-coding RNA. RefSeq lists it as uncharacterized. The record is from RefSeq and is a predicted model, not a curated record. The transcript is spliced from 3 exons. NCBI's taxonomy places the organism in Eukaryota, Viridiplantae, Streptophyta, Magnoliopsida, Poales, Poaceae.
CGAGGUUACUAAACACCCUUCUCUUUGCUUUGUUUUAUUCUCUAGGUACCUUAUUUUGGACCAUCGACAUUUCUGAAUUCUCUCCUCAGCUGUGCAGGUAGAUGUGUAUGGAGGAACGCCCAUUGGCCGGUACGAGAACAAUGGAAUGUUGGCUGUUGAGCCUGAGGAGGGAAGGGUCGACCUGUUCAUACUAGCACCCGAGACCUAGCCUUCUUGCAUCAUGCUCGACCAUGUCAUCCUGCUUGCAUGCGUUGUCCUCCUCCGUCCCCUCGCAAGGUGUGUAGUGGUAGGCUCGGUCUCCGGCCUUGGAGUCUUCUGUUGGCCCCAUUGUCAUGCGGCGGAGGCGGUGCUGUUUGGCAUCAGCUACAAAACAGCCAUGAAAGUGAUGCACUUGGGGAGACAUCUUCUCCUAGAAAGAGUGGAAUUAUCUUUUUCUUAGUGCAAGAUGAACUGUUUAUGAUCAAGACUCUUUGGGUAUCAGAAGUGUAGGUUUUUGUUGUUCUACUCAAUGAUUGUAUGAUAAUAAACAAACCAUGCAUGCUAGUUGACGGUAUAUGUUGGUAACUUGAUAUGGUUUGGUAUGGUCUUGGUCUAUUCAUUUUUCUCUAAGAAACUGAGAUGUAUACCUUCAAUGAUCCAGAGCUUUUAGCUUAUCUGACUUUUAUGAUGUUCUAUUAGAUAGUAGAUUAUGUAAUUUCCAUUUCUGGAAGUGAUGCA